Molecule: ribosomal RNA, 826 nt
Filed under: uncultured Bacillota bacterium
Lineage: Bacteria; Bacillati; Bacillota
Description: bacterial SSU rRNA
Rfam family: Bacterial small subunit ribosomal RNA
Source: RNAcentral
UCGAACGCGGUUGCCCCGCAAGGGGUGACUGAGUGGCGAACGGGUGAGUAACACGUGGGUGACCUACCCUCGAGUGGGGGAUAACAUCCCGAAAGGGGUGCUAAUACCGCAUGACAUCCUGUCUUUGAACAGAUGGACAUUAAAGCCGGGGAUCGUAAGACCUGGCGCUCGUGGAGGGGCCCGCGCCCGAUUAGCUAGUUGGUGAGGUAACGGCUCACCAAGGCUUCGAUCGGUAUCCGGCCUGAGAGGGCGGACGGACACACUGGGACUGAGACACGGCCCAGACUCCUACGGGAGGCAGCAGUGGGGAAUUGUUCGCAAUGGGCGAAAGCCUGACGACGCAACGCCGCGUGGAGGACGAAGAUCUUCGGGUCGUAAACUCCUUUCGAUCGGGACGAAUGAUCGGCGACCUAAUACGUUGCCGGAAUGACGGUACCGAGAGAAGAAGCCCCGGCUAACUCCGUGCCAGCAGCCGCGGUAAUACGGGGGGGGCAAGCGUUGUUCGGAGUUACUGGGCGUAAAGGGCGCGUAGGCGGCCUUCUAAGUCAGACGUGAAAUCCCUCGGCUCAACCGAGGAACUGCGUCUGAUACUGGAAGGCUUGAAUCCGGGAGAGGGAUGUGGAAUUCCAGGUGUAGCGGUGAAAUGCGUAGAUAUCUGGAGGAACACCGGUGGCGAAGGCGGCAUCCUGGACCGGUAUUGACGCUGAGGCGCGAAAGCUAGGGGAGCAAACGGGAUUAGAUACCCCGGUAGUCCUAGCCCUAAACGAUGAGUGCUUGGUGUGGCGGGUAUCGAUCCCUGCCGUGCCGAAGCUAACGCAUUAAGCAC